This is a long non-coding RNA of Poecile atricapillus (Black-capped chickadee), 2490 nucleotides long. RefSeq lists it as uncharacterized. The record is from RefSeq and is a predicted model, not a curated record. The transcript is spliced from 3 exons. NCBI's taxonomy places the organism in Eukaryota, Metazoa, Chordata, Aves, Passeriformes, Paridae.
CCAUGGUUUAAAACAUUUGUAUGUUAAACAACAGUUUUGGAAAUGAAUUCUUCAGAGCCUCAGUCUUGUUUCGUAUCCCUCAAUUAGGCUUCUAAAUUGGUACAGCCCUGUAGAGCUGCUGUUAGCAGCACCAAUCCCUUCCACACCAAGGGGCAAACAUUGCUUCCUGGAAACUUUAUAUAUUGGUGUAACUUUUCUUAAUCUUUGCUGUUUUCUUUCCAGGACAAAAACAAACCAAAACAACCAAAUCACUUUUAACACAUGAAAGGUCCUGGAGCUCUGUAAGAAGACAGCUGAGCACUGGCAGUGCCAAACCACAUCAGAGAUACCUCAUCCUGGAGGAGGACUUGCUGCAUUCAGGCUUCCAUUAUGGAAGCAGCUCUGCUGCAGUGCUGGUGUGCUGUAGGACUGGUCCUCAGUGGAGUGUGCUGGGAACACCAUCACAGCCCUCAGACAGACAGGAGGACGUCACAGCCCUCUGAGCUCAGCAGUUGAACUGGCCAAACACAGUUCAGUGGGAUGCCUUGGAUGUCCAAAGGGCUGAGGCAAAGAGGUGCUGCAGCUUCUGUGUCCUCAUUAGUGAGCAGCAGGAGAGCAUCCGUGUUGUGCCUUUCCUUGCCCUGCAGCAAUUUUACUCCAAAAGUCCUGUAUUUUUGGACAAUUGUCUACUUGCAUCCAUCCCUGGAAGGGGCUCAGAGUGCAUUUCACAUUGAAAAAAACCAAAACAACUGAUCUGUGCUGCUCUGGCUGAAGAAGAGGCUUCCUUUAAAAACGGCUCAAGCGGUGGGAAUGCUGCCAAGGCGCUCCGGCGGGUGACGCAGCAAACUGCUGCAUUGCUCCUGCUGUCCUUGCCCAGGAUGCCCAGCAAUCAGCGUGAUGAAGGCUCUCAUUUCCUCAUUUGCAAGUCUACGUUGCUUCACUUUGUCGCUGACUUUCUACGUGGUGUUUGUGCAACUCUUCCCAGAGCCCUGGGAGGACGGUUACCUUUGACAGCCAUUUCACCUGGUGAAACUCCUGGGCUGGGCAAUGGCCAGCAGCCACCUUCCCAAUGGCACCCUGGAUUGAGUGGGACUGUUUGGUGCCUCCCUUCCCAGCAAAAUAAAAGAGGCUGCAGGGGAUUCCACUGCUCACGUGGCUUGGCUUGAGGAGAUCAGCAAGGAACCUGUUCCUGUGUCUGUGUCUGGCUGUGUUGCUCCAUGGACUGAUGGAGCCAGCGCUGCUCAGUGAACCUGUGAUUGGGCACAGCAGUCCUUGGUAGGUGAGACCUUGCUUACGUUGCAGGACUACUGUCAGAGCAAGAGAGGAGUGCUCCGUUGUCAUCCCUGUGGUAUUCUCAGUUUCAUGUGCUGCAAUUAAACCACCUGCCAAAUAAUGAUGUGGCAAAUCUGGGUGGUGUGGCCUCCUCUGAUCUGCUCCUUAAAGCUGGGAACAUGAGCUGGACUGGAAAGCAUCUGCUCUGUGCAACCUUGGUUAUGGUAAUCAUUUAUGACUGUUAGUAGAUCUGAAAUUUGCAGUUAAAACAUACCAAUGACAGUGUCAGUUCCUCCUGUUCUCCCUGGGUUCUUCUGAAAAGAGCAAGGGCAGCGUGGCUGCUCUCCUUUGGAGCAGGGAUGAAUCAGCAGAGGGUGAAUAGCAGGAGGCUGGUACUGCUGUAUUUUCUCUGCAGAUGUAAACUACGUGAACACAUUCAUCACAUCCUGAGAAUGCACCCCGGAUUUGCUUUUGUGCCUCUUGUUAUUACAAGAAAUCAACAAUUUCCGAACAAUCCUGUCUCAUGGAAUCAGCAAUUCCCAGGUGCCAGUGGGGUCUUUGGGGGGCUGUCCUGGUCUUCACAGGUGUCAGCCUGGCACAGCCAAUGCAGAGUUUGGGAAGCAAACAUCCUCUCCAGGUGUUAUUCCCUGUCUCGGCAAAGCUGGCAGAUUUGUGGCACAGAUGCUGCCAAAAGUCUUGUCUGAAGCCAUGUCUCAGCUGAGGUGUGACUUGUGCCACCAAGGAAAAAGUGCCACCUGGAUUGGAAUGUCAGGGAGGUGGCAGGUGGCACAAUUUUCCCUCGCUGUCUGAGGGAAGUGAGGCUUUUUCUUUUAUUUGCAGAAGGACCACGCUUUAAGCGGGGCUGUGCUGCAGCUCAAGGAGGUUUUCCUUGAGCUCAUCAUCCUGUGAAGUGUGGAGAGAUGUAAACUACUGAGCCUCCUCUGCAGCUGGUAUUUCCAAGGUGCUUGCAGGGGUGUUGGAUGCAAACCUCUCUGGACAGCCUCUAAAAUGCCAGUGACAGGGUUGCCAUGAUUGUAUCAUGAGUCUUGCAUUGGCUGCAUGUUUUCCAUGGAGUCAGUUCCUGGAAUCACACAAUUAGGUAGGAACGUGUUCUUUAAUUUUCAAGGAAGAAAGUCCAUUUCAGGAUUUCCCUGUAGUCCUGAACCUUCACAACUGAAGUGAGGAGGUCCUGCUCACCUGGCCGAUCUGUACGUUUUAUAGACAGAUUCACGCUUUUAA